Non-coding RNA from Acanthosepion pharaonis, 111 nucleotides. Lineage: Eukaryota; Metazoa; Mollusca; Cephalopoda; Sepiida; Sepiidae. The record is from the annotation of a GenBank genome assembly.
GGCAAUAUCAUAUUGAAAACACCAGUUCUUGUAUGAUCAUUGGAGUUAAGCAAUGUUGUGCCUGGUCAGUACUUAGAUUAGUGACUAAUUGUGAAAACCAGGUGCUGUAAG